AAUUCUCAGUGAAAACCAGUUGACCGAACUGCAUAAGGAUUCAUUUGAAGGCCUAUUAUCCCUCCAAUAUUUAGAUUUAUCCUGCAACAAAAUACAAUAUAUUGAAAGACGUACAUUUGAGUCACUACCUUUUUUGCAGUAUUUAAAUCUCGGUUGUAAUUUAAUCACAGAACUGAACUUUGGAACCUUUCAGGCCUGGCAUGGAAUGCAGUUUUUACAU
This is a long non-coding RNA of Tupaia belangeri chinensis (Chinese tree shrew), 220 nucleotides long. RefSeq lists it as uncharacterized. The record is from RefSeq and is a predicted model, not a curated record. NCBI's taxonomy places the organism in Eukaryota, Metazoa, Chordata, Mammalia, Scandentia, Tupaiidae. The transcript has 3 exons.